This 348-nucleotide RNase P RNA is filed under the name Clostridia bacterium. RNAcentral's name for it is "RNase P RNA component class A". It matches the Rfam family "Bacterial RNase P class A". Rfam says of the family: Ribonuclease P (RNase P) is a ubiquitous endoribonuclease, found in archaea, bacteria and eukarya as well as chloroplasts and mitochondria. Lineage: Bacteria; Bacillati; Bacillota; Clostridia. The record is from RNAcentral.
GGACCGUUCCGAACAAUCGCGCGGCGGCAUGGCGAAAGCCCCCGCCGUGAGGAAAGUCCGAGCUCCACAGAGCAGGAUAACAGAUAACAUCUGCCGAAGGCGACUUCAGGGCCAGUGCAACAGAAAUAAACCGCCCGUAUUUGCGGGUAAGGAUGGAAAGGCGAGGUAAGAGCUCACCGGCGCGCCGGAGACGGCGCGGCCAUGUAAACCCUAUCCGGAGCAACACCGCGGCGGGGGCAUAUGCUUGCUCGGCAGCCCCCAUGGAGGUGGCACAGACGUAUGCGGCGACGUAUGCGCAAGAUAGAUGAUUGUUCACGACAGAACUCGGCUUACAGGUCCGGUCCAGAA